Molecule: ribosomal RNA, 408 nt
Filed under: beta proteobacterium enrichment culture clone LiUU-16-747
Lineage: Bacteria; Pseudomonadati; Pseudomonadota; Betaproteobacteria
Description: bacterial SSU rRNA
Rfam family: Bacterial small subunit ribosomal RNA
Source: RNAcentral
CAGCCGCCGCGGUAAUACGUAGGGUGCAAGCGUUAAUCGGAAUUACUGGGCGUAAAGCGUGCGCAGGCGGUUAUAUAAGUCAGAUGUGAAAUCCCCGGGCUCAACCUGGGAACUGCAUUUGAGACUGUAUAGCUAGAGUACGGUAGAGGGGGAUGGAAUUCCGCGUGUAGCAGUGAAAUGCGUAGAUAUGCGGAGGAACACCGAUGGCGAAGGCAAUCCCCUGGACCUGUACUGACGCUCAUGCACGAAAGCGUGGGGAGCAAACAGGACUAGAUACCCUGGUAGUCCACGCCCUAAACGAUGUCAACUGGUUGUUGGGUCUUAACUGACUCAGUAACGAAGCUAACGCGUGAAGUUGACCGCCUGGGGGAGUACGGCCGCAAGGUUGAAACUCAAAGGAAUUGACGG